CAGUCGCCGCGGUAAUACGAAGGGUGCAAGCGUUAAUCGGAAUUACUGGGCGUAAAGCGUGCGUAGGCGGUGAGUUAAGUCUGCUGUGAAAUCCCCGGGCUCAACCUGGGAAUGGCAGUGGAUACUGGCUCGCUAGAGUGUGUCAGAGGAUGGUGGAAUUCCCGGUGUAGCGGUGAAAUGCGUAGAGAUUGGGAGGAACAUCAGUGGCGAAGGCGGCCAUCUGGGACAACACUGACGCUGAGGCACGAAAGCGUGGGGAGCAAACAGGAUUAGAUACCCCCGUAGUCCCUGUCUCUUAUAC
This 301-nucleotide ribosomal RNA is filed under the name uncultured bacterium. Its description in RNAcentral is "partial 16S ribosomal RNA". It matches the Rfam family "Bacterial small subunit ribosomal RNA", at positions 509 to 807 of the family's 1533-position model. The record is from RNAcentral.